UCACUCUCAGCCACCGCCUUCUCUUUCAUAGUCUUUCUCACUCUCAGCCAUUUCAACCUAAAAGAGAAUCUGUAGAGAGAAAGUGAAAAGGCUUGUUACGAUCUGUGUCUAAUUUGCUCUAAUUAGUUAGUUGAAGUGAUGAAAUUGUAUGAUUAUGCAGUUUUUAAUUUGUAAUUUUGGAUCUGAAUGUGUUGUAAGCUUUUAACAUUUUCUUUUCAC
RNAcentral lists this long non-coding RNA (219 nucleotides) under Panax ginseng (ginseng). Its description in RNAcentral is "long non-coding RNA (PGIN_LNC007762)". The record is from RNAcentral. Lineage: Eukaryota; Viridiplantae; Streptophyta; Magnoliopsida; Apiales; Araliaceae.